UAAGUACUCCCUCCGUGCAAAAAUACUUGUCAAAAAAUGGAUGUAUGUAGACAUGUUUUAUUUUUAGAUACAUCCAUUUUUAUUCAUUUCGGUGACAAGUAAUUCCGGACGGAGGGAAUACCUU
Molecule: non-coding RNA, 124 nt
Organism: Triticum aestivum (bread wheat)
Lineage: Eukaryota; Viridiplantae; Streptophyta; Magnoliopsida; Poales; Poaceae
Source: Rfam